This 2011-nucleotide long non-coding RNA is filed under the name Sparus aurata (gilthead seabream). RNAcentral's name for it is "lncRNA (ENSSAUG00010020912.1)". The record is from RNAcentral. Lineage: Eukaryota; Metazoa; Chordata; Actinopteri; Spariformes; Sparidae.
GAUCAAACACCUGAGACCAGAGAAGAGCACUGAGAGCCAUUGGUGAAGGACUUUCUGGAGAGAUGGCCUGCCCUUCAGGUCCAAUCACAGGUCUGUGCUGAGUUCCACAGGAUCACCAAUGUAAAUUUACGGAACCAGUUUUAUUCUGAACUAGAUCGGCACAUUCCACAGCUCAUAGAACUUUACAGACAGAAGGCAGCUCGUACUGGAAGGGUGGCAGGAGCACUGUGAGACAUCCUACAGUAUUAUGAAACUGAGGUGAGUUGAAAAAAAGCUAAAAUGGACUUUGUCUAAAUUUUAUCCACAUGGAACAGCUGGCUCCCAGGAUUGUCAGCAUUUACUACCACUUCAUUACUAUAUACUACUACUACACAAGGGGCAGUCCUUCACUUUUAACUUUAAAUCAAUUAGUUAUCCUGUAACAUGUACAUAUUUAGUACAGUAAGUCAUACUUUGUCGGCAGCAAAGGGCCCCUGUUUUUUUUCUCAUGUGUCUUUGUUUAUCCACCCAGGAUGUGCAGGAUAUCAACAUGAAACGCACUGUGGCCCUUCGUGCUCUCUCAGUAUACCUGCGGGAAGAGGACACACAGUUUUUCAAGACUUGGAACACUGAGGAAUCAGAGGAGCCAGACAUCGGGGACACACCCAUUGGUAUUGUCACGAUGAUCAGAGAAAGAAGUGCAUCUCCCGUUCACUUCAGUCCCGUAUCCACAGCCAUUGUGGUGGAAGAUGAAUUCAUCAUGAGGGACAUUGCCACGUUUGCCGAUGCAUAUGUGUUACUGUUUGGGCUGGUGUAUGUGUUACAUCUCGACUACCCAAAGAAGCUCGUUGGCACCUUCACUUCAUACAGAAGGUUCUAAUGGGGUUGGAUGACGGUGCACCCCUGAAACCUGCUCUGCUCUCUUUGAAAAAUGACCUGCUUACAGUGUAGACGUUACCUGUAUGAUGUAGCAUGUUUGUUGUUACAUUGAUUUAAGAUGUGCCUGUUGUCCUCCUGUUUCGAAUGGUCCUUCUUUCCCUCCUUUCUCCCCUCUUCCACCAUCAUUUCCUUUCCUUCUUCCUUCCUAGACCCAAUCUGUUCCCUUUGCUUUCUUUCUUUUUUCUUUGCUCCCUCCCUUCUUUCCCUACAUCUUUUCUUCUUCUUCCUUCCUUGACCCAAUCUGUUUACUUUGCCCUGACUUCUUUCCUUCCUUUCUCCCUUCUUUCCCUACAUUCUUCUUCCUGCCAUGAUCUAAUCUGUUCCCUUCCUCCAUCUUUCUUUCCUUCCUUUCUUGACCCAGGAGGACAACAAGAGGGAUAUUAAACAGUUUUUUUUCUGCUUAUGCAGAUAUACACUAACUUCCAAAAAUGCACCAGGGUGAGUGCAGGACAAAAAUAAUGCACCAAAAGGGUGUGUCUGAUUCGUUUACCUGGAGAAACAGAGUUUUUGUUGGCCUCUCUUUUCAAAAGGCAUAGAUUUUAAAUCUAUACAUUUCCUUUUUGGUUAUUUAUUUGAUUUAUUUUUUAUUCAUGUGCAAUGACUUGAUAUCUGAUAUCCUGAUAUUUACUUUUUGGUUAUUUAUUUAAUUUAUUUUUUAUUCAUUUCAAAUUAUUUAUUUCCUUGAAUGGCCAUAGAUGUAAAAAAAACUUGAAGAUGCUGUUUUGAAAGGCCAUUACUUUACACUGAGCACAAGUUCCCAAUGCUUUUAUACAAACAUUUAAACAUUUGCAGUGAUUUAUACAUAACCAUACAAAUCUGUUUUUAUAUAAUGUAUGUGUGGAUGUAUAUGUUGACGGUUCAUGAUAUGCAAGGUAUCCUUCAACCAAAUGGGGUGUGUUUACAUUUUCAGAUUGUGCAUUUGUUGGCCUGGUUUUACUGGCCUGGUUUUACAAGUUGGAUGUCCAUGGUUAACAUACAGAUGUGUGUAUGUGGUGUUUGUAUACUUACAGCUCUGUUGCUGUGACCAAAGUGGUUUGGAGAAAAAGAAUAAAAUCUGAAUAAAAACAUUGAAAUAUUCUACAUUUUUGUGUGA